GCAGACCAUGGCUUCUGGGAUGUUGCCAAAAUAAAGAACACCUAUGCUGUGCACUUAACGAGGGAGAGAGAAGACGGCACACGGCUGGAUGGACCAUCAGCUCCACCCCUGAAAGAGAAAAUUGAUACUGUAUCUCAGAGGGGCUGGACUUGGAGAAAUGACAAUGCAACAAGAUGCCCUGAGAAGAAAGACAGAGACACAACUGCAUCUUCCAGACCUCCAGUGCUCUCAUCAGAUCCUCAUCACAGACUGACAAAGUUCACUGGAUGAAGAGAACGACAUGUGAAAAUGAAAGACUCUUUCAGAAGGUCCAGUGCUACAGAACAGCAGUCCUACAGAAAUCUCAGAACUACCAGAUGAAUCUGAGAAAAGUAACGCAUUCAACUGACUGAAGAUCAAGCAAGACUUCUAUCCCUUCCCUUGUGUGCAGGUAUAAGGUACGAGUAGAUGCUGUCAGGAGAUGGAAUGCGGUAUCUUCAUAGAACCAGAUUUGACUGACACCUGGUUGUGACCACAAGAGAAGACUAUCUGAGUGGCGGAGUGAGGUUCAUGAGCACACUAUGCGCAGAGCUGAAAAGUGGAACACCCUGAGUUCACACCAGGCGUGCCUCUAACCCUGGUAGAGGCAGAAGAGUUCCUUAGGGGGACCAACGAGGAAACUGAGCAGACUCAACUGGAGGCUUAAAAGCCCACUGUUUGCUCCAACUGAUCAAGAGCAUCUAAAAACAGAUGAAGGAUCGACGAGCACCACAGUGCUUAGCAGCAAAAAGAGAAAUUCAGCAGAAACUGAUUAAAUCACCCUGAUGCUGAAGCACAGAACGAAGACAUUUAGAUGCGGAAGAUGACAAAAUAGUUGUCUACAGUGAAUUUUUACCCACUGUUGUAGAAUAUAGUAAAAAGCUUAUUGAAGGUCAAGGAAAGUGAUUAAGUGUUGUGAGGAAAAGUCAUGCUAUGAUUAAGUGAUCAUUUUAUGAUCAAAUGGGGGAACUGAUAGAUAUUCUUAUAAGCCUGACUCUUUUCUUUCCCUGUUUCUCCCUGUUUUCCCUCACCUAGUCUUCAUGGAUGCAAGGGUAGAACGGAGACUAGAUGUUAUGGUUUCGUCACACAUCUGGUUUUAAUGUACACAAUGUAUAUAUGUGUGUGUGUUUCUUGGAAAGCAGCCAAGAAAUGGUCCUUGCCUUUUAUAGAUGGGGUCUUCUUGGAUCCCCAGGCAGGCAGGGGCACUGGACCAGAUGUUGACCAUAUUUAGACUUGUUUUUCUAUAUGUACCACAUUCCUAUAUCAUGAAAGUAUAUUCUCAUUGGACAAUUGUUACACCACCCCCUGAACAUGUUUAAAAGCCCUGUACUGAAGUAAGUCUGGGAGGAGGUUUUGUGAACGGAUUGGCUUCAUGUUCAUGACUCUUUCCCAUAGGCCUAUGCAUUCAAUGAGUGAAAAAGACAAACUGAGAAUGAGGCAUGAACUGGGACCAUAAAUGUAAGAUUAAAUAACCUUGCAGACAUGUAGGUGCAACAUUACUUAUAGUCAACAGAAUGUUUUAAAGGGGCCAUCAAAAUAAAGUGAAUCUAUCUAUCUA
Megalobrama amblycephala (Wuchang bream) is the source of this 1576-nucleotide long non-coding RNA. RefSeq lists it as uncharacterized. The record is from RefSeq and is a predicted model, not a curated record. The transcript is spliced from 2 exons. NCBI's taxonomy places the organism in Eukaryota, Metazoa, Chordata, Actinopteri, Cypriniformes, Xenocyprididae.